This 23-nucleotide ribosomal RNA is filed under the name uncultured fungus. Its description in RNAcentral is "partial 28S ribosomal RNA". The record is from RNAcentral. Lineage: Eukaryota; Fungi.
UCGAUCUCAAAUCAGGUAGGACU